UCUUUGACACAACUUUGAAUUAAUAGAAAAGUUGAUAUAUAUCUAAAUUUCCAUUGAGGAGUUGAGUUUAAUCUUUGGAUUUGGUAACUUUGAUCCAAGUCCUUUGACUUUUGUGCCACAUAGAAUUACAUUCAUUUUUUAAUAUUUUAUGAUGUAAUCUUUUUAUUAUUUUAUUUUUAAAAUUAUUUUUUGUUCCAAUGUUGCCUCUUAUGACUUGAAUCGGAUAAUAGUCAUUUUAUGUCAUAUUGCCUAUUGCCUAUUGAUAUGUAUAUG
Molecule: long non-coding RNA, 273 nt
Filed under: Prunus persica (peach)
Lineage: Eukaryota; Viridiplantae; Streptophyta; Magnoliopsida; Rosales; Rosaceae
Description: long non-coding RNA (PPER_LNC001630)
Source: RNAcentral